AAACAAUUUCCGUGAAGAGCCAGCUAAAUUCACCUGGAUUUAGAAAUGAGAAAAAGAUGUUCUUAAAGGACAUAUGAAGACUGUCUCCACUAAUUUAUGGAGAUAAUCUCUAGAAAGACCCUACUAUCUGCAGCUGUCGAGAGGAACCAGUUGCCUUCCAAGAAGGGUGACUCUAUUAAACUGAAGGACCUUUCGGCUGCUCAACAUCUUAAGGAGUCUCCUGUGAAAGCUGAU
Lemur catta (Ring-tailed lemur) is the source of this 234-nucleotide long non-coding RNA. RefSeq lists it as uncharacterized. Lineage: Eukaryota; Metazoa; Chordata; Mammalia; Primates; Lemuridae. The transcript has 3 exons. The record is from RefSeq and is a predicted model, not a curated record.